AUACGUAGGUGACAAGCGUUAUCCGGAAUUAUUGGGCGUAAAGGGCAUGUAGGCGGUCUUGCAAGUCUGGUGUGAAAUUCCGUGGCUCAACCACGGAACUGCGUUGGAAACUGCAUGACUGGAGUCGCUGAGGGGCAGGCAGAAUUCCUGGUGUAGGGGUGAAAUCUGUAGAUAUCAGGAAGAAUACCAAUGGCGAAGGCAGCCUGCCAGCAGAUGACUGACGCUGAGGUGCGAAGGUGCGGGGAGCAAACAGGAUUAGAUACCCUGGUAGUCCGCACAGUCAACUAUGUGCACUGGAUGUCCGGACAGAAGUCUGGGUGUCGAAGCAAACGCGAUAAGUGCACCGCCUGGGGAGUAUGCCCGCAAGGGUGAAACUCAAAUGAAUUGACGGGG
Molecule: ribosomal RNA, 393 nt
Filed under: uncultured bacterium
Lineage: Bacteria
Description: partial 16S ribosomal RNA
Rfam family: Bacterial small subunit ribosomal RNA
Source: RNAcentral